This 465-nucleotide ribosomal RNA is filed under the name Vreelandella stevensii. RNAcentral describes it as "partial 16S ribosomal RNA". It matches the Rfam family "Bacterial small subunit ribosomal RNA", at positions 338 to 795 of the family's 1533-position model. The record is from RNAcentral. Lineage: Bacteria; Pseudomonadati; Pseudomonadota; Gammaproteobacteria; Oceanospirillales; Halomonadaceae.
CCUACGGGCUGCAGCAGUGGGGAAUAUUGGACAAUGGGGGGAACCCUGAUCCAGCCAUGCCGCGUGUGUGAAGAAGGCCCUCGGGUUGUAAAGCACUUUCAGUGAGGAAGAACGCCUGGUGGUUAAUACCCAUCAGGAAAGACAUCACUCACAGAAGAAGCACCGGCUAACUCCGUGCCAGCAGCCGCGGUAAUACGGAGGGUGCGAGCGUUAAUCGGAAUUACUGGGCGUAAAGCGCGCGUAGGUGGCUUGAUAAGCCGGUUGUGAAAGCCCCGGGCUCAACCUGGGAACGGCAUCCGGAACUGUCAAGCUAGAGUGCAGGAGAGGAAGGUAGAAUUCCCGGUGUAGCGGUGAAAUGCGUAGAGAUCGGGAGGAAUACCAGUGGCGAAGGCGGCCUUCUGGACUGACACUGACACUGAGGUGCGAAAGCGUGGGUAGCAAACAGGAUUAGAUACCCUAGUAGUC